This 441-nucleotide ribosomal RNA is filed under the name uncultured bacterium. RNAcentral's name for it is "partial 16S ribosomal RNA". It matches the Rfam family "Bacterial small subunit ribosomal RNA", at positions 338 to 795 of the family's 1533-position model. The record is from RNAcentral.
CCUACGGGUGGCAGCAGUGGGGGAUAUUGCACAAUGGGCGGAAGCCUGAUGCAGCGACGCCGCGUGGGUGAAGGAGUCUUUCGGUAUGUAAAGCUCUUUCGGCAGGGAAGAAUUUAGACGGUACCUGCCUUAGUAACACCGGCCAAAUACGUGCCAGCCGCCGAGGUACUUCGCAGGGGUCCAGCGUUAUCCGGAUUUACUGGGUGUAAAGGGAGCGUAGACGGGCAGGCAAGCGAGGCGUGAAAGCCCGGGGGCCAACCCGGGAACUGCAGUGGGAACUGGGUGGCUAGAGUGAGGGAGGGGCAGGCGGAAUUCCUGGUGUAGCAGUGAAAUGCGUAGAUAUGAGGAAGAACACCGGCGGCGAAGGCGGCCUGCUGGACCGCAACUGACGGUGAGGCGCGAAAGCGUGGGGAGCGAACAGGAUUAGAUACCCCAGUAGUC